AAAUGAAUAGACGGGGACCCGCACAAGCGGUGGAGCAUGUUGCUUAAUUCGACGCAACGCGAAGAACCUUACCGGGGCUUGAAGUGUGCCGGACCGCCAUGGAGACAUGGCUUCCCUUCGGGGCCGGUACAUUAGGUGCUGCACGGCUGUCGUCAGCUCGUGUCGUGAGAUGUUGGGUUAAGUCCUCUAACGAGCGCAACCCUUAUCCGCAGUUGCCAUCAGGUAAUGCUGGGCACUCUGCGGAGACUGCCGGUGAUAAACCGGAGGAAGGUGGGGAUGACGUCAAGUCAUCGUGGCCCUUACGUCCCGGGCUGCAAACGUGCUACAAUGGCUGGUACAAAGGGAAGCAAGACCGCGAGGUGGAGCAAAUCCCAAAAAGCCAGUCUCAGUUCGGAUCGCAGUCUGCAACUCGACUGCGUGAAGUUGGAAUCGCUAGUAAUCGCGGAUCAGCAUGCCGCGGUGAAUACGUUCCCGGGUCUUGUACACACCGCCCGU
This 495-nucleotide ribosomal RNA is filed under the name uncultured bacterium. Its description in RNAcentral is "bacterial SSU rRNA". It matches the Rfam family "Bacterial small subunit ribosomal RNA", at positions 903 to 1397 of the family's 1533-position model. The record is from RNAcentral.